UACGGAGGGUGCAAACGUUGCUCGGAAUCAUUGGGCGUAAAGCGCACGUAGGCGGCCUGUUAAGUCGGUGGUGAAAUCCUGGAGCUCAACUCCAGAACUGCCUUCGAUACUGAGAGUCUCGAGUCCGGGAGAGGUGAGUGGAACUGCGAGUGUAGAGGUGAAAUUCGUAGAUAUUCGCAAGAACACCAGUGGCGAAGGCGGCUCACUGGCCCGGUACUGACGCUGAGGUGCGAAAGCGUGGGGAGCAAACAGG
RNAcentral lists this ribosomal RNA (253 nucleotides) under uncultured bacterium. Its description in RNAcentral is "partial 16S ribosomal RNA". It matches the Rfam family "Bacterial small subunit ribosomal RNA", at positions 524 to 776 of the family's 1533-position model. The record is from RNAcentral.